Non-coding RNA from Paramuricea clavata, 211 nucleotides. The record is from the annotation of a GenBank genome assembly. NCBI's taxonomy places the organism in Eukaryota, Metazoa, Cnidaria, Anthozoa, Malacalcyonacea, Plexauridae.
AAGCACGAAAUGUUCUGUUUUGAGAAAACAGUAUUUAAAACAUUUGAACUUUUGCUUGAAUAUCUUAUAUUUCGAAAAACAGUAUAAACUGUACGGUCUAAAUUUAGUUUGCACGGUCUAAAUUUAGUUUGCACGAAAGUUGUAAACAACACCAUAUAAGGACAGACAUUCCAUAUUUGGAAAAACGAACGUUACGGGGCAAAUAUUCAAA